RNAcentral lists this transfer RNA (74 nucleotides) under Caudoviricetes sp. RNAcentral describes it as "tRNA-Arg". It matches the Rfam family "tRNA". Rfam says of the family: Transfer RNA (tRNA) molecules are approximately 80 nucleotides in length. Their secondary structure includes four short double-helical elements and three loops (D, anti-codon, and T loops). Further hydrogen bonds mediate the characteristic L-shaped molecular structure. tRNAs have two regions of fundamental functional importance: the anti-codon, which is responsible for specific mRNA codon recognition, and the 3' end, to which the tRNAs corresponding amino acid is attached (by aminoacyl-tRNA synthetases). tRNAs cope with the degeneracy of the genetic code in two manners: having more than one tRNA (with a specific anti-codon) for a particular amino acid; and 'wobble' base-pairing, i.e. permitting non-standard base-pairing at the 3rd anti-codon position. Lineage: Duplodnaviria; Heunggongvirae; Uroviricota; Caudoviricetes. The record is from RNAcentral.
CCGCCCCUAGCUCACCGGAUAGAGCGCCCGAUCUCGAAUUGGGAGGCACCAGGUUCGACUCCUGGGGGGCGGUC